RNAcentral lists this ribosomal RNA (373 nucleotides) under uncultured organism. RNAcentral describes it as "partial 16S ribosomal RNA". It matches the Rfam family "Bacterial small subunit ribosomal RNA", at positions 527 to 896 of the family's 1533-position model. The record is from RNAcentral.
GUAGGUGGCAAGCGUUGUCCGGAUUUACUGGGCGUAAAGGAUGCGUAGGCGGAUUUUUAAGUGAGAUGUGAAAUACCCGGGCUUAACUUGGGUGCUGCAUUUCAAACUGGGAAUCUAGAGUGCGGGAGAGGAGAAUGGAAUUCCUAGUGUAGCGGUGAAAUGCGUAGAGAUUAGGAAGAACACCAGUGGCGAAGGCGAUUCUCUGGACCAUAACUGACGCUGAGGCAUGAAAGCGUGGGGUAGCAAACAGGAUUAGAUACCCUGGUAGUCCACACCGUAAACGAUGAGUACUAGGUGUAGGAGGUAUCGACUCCUUCUGUGCCGCAGUUAACACAAUAAGUACUCCGCCCUGGGAAGUACGAUCGCAAGAUUA